RNAcentral lists this ribosomal RNA (478 nucleotides) under Salmonella enterica subsp. enterica serovar Typhimurium. Its description in RNAcentral is "bacterial SSU rRNA". It matches the Rfam family "Bacterial small subunit ribosomal RNA", at positions 1 to 473 of the family's 1533-position model. The record is from RNAcentral. Lineage: Bacteria; Pseudomonadati; Pseudomonadota; Gammaproteobacteria; Enterobacterales; Enterobacteriaceae.
UUAAAUUGAAGAGUUUGAUCAUGGCUCAGAUUGAACGCUGGCGGCAGGCCUAACACAUGCAAGUCGAACGGUAACAGGAAGCAGCUUGCUGCUUCGCUGACGAGUGGCGGACGGGUGAGUAAUGUCUGGGAAACUGCCUGAUGGAGGGGGAUAACUACUGGAAACGGUGGCUAAUACCGCAUAACGUCGCAAGACCAAAGAGGGGGACCUUCGGGCCUCUUGCCAUCAGAUGUGCCCAGAUGGGAUUAGCUUGUUGGUGAGGUAACGGCUCACCAAGGCGACGAUCCCUAGCUGGUCUGAGAGGAUGACCAGCCACACUGGAACUGAGACACGGUCCAGACUCCUACGGGAGGCAGCAGUGGGGAAUAUUGCACAAUGGGCGCAAGCCUGAUGCAGCCAUGCCGCGUGUAUGAAGAAGGCCUUCGGGUUGUAAAGUACUUUCAGCGGGGAGGAAGGUGUUGUGGUUAAUAACCGCAGC